This is a transfer RNA of Ovis aries (sheep), 57 nucleotides long. It matches the Rfam family "tRNA", at positions 8 to 63 of the family's 71-position model. Rfam says of the family: Transfer RNA (tRNA) molecules are approximately 80 nucleotides in length. Their secondary structure includes four short double-helical elements and three loops (D, anti-codon, and T loops). Lineage: Eukaryota; Metazoa; Chordata; Mammalia; Artiodactyla; Bovidae. The record is from Rfam.
UGGCUCAGAGGUUGAAGCAUCUGCCUGCAAUGCAGGAGACCCAGGUUCAAUCCCUGG